UCCGUUGGUGUACCAGCGGAGGGAUCAUUUCCGAGUUUACAACUCCCGAACCCCUGUGAAGAUACCUUAUGUUGCCUCGGCGGAUCAGCCCGCGCCCCGUAAAAAGGGACGGCUCGCCGCAGGAACCCUAAACUCUGUUUUUAGUGGAACUUCUGAGUAUAAAAAAUAAAUAAAUCAAAACUUUCAACAACGGAUCUCUUGGUUCUGGCAUCGAUGAAGAACGCAGCAAAAUGCGAAAAGUAAUGUGAAUUGCAGAAUUCAGUGAAUCAUCGAAUCUUUGAACGCACAUUGCGCCCGCCAGUAUUCUGGCGGGCAUGGCUGUUCGAGCGUCAUUUCAACCCUCAAGCCCAGCUUGGUGUUGGGAGCUGCAGUCCUGCUGCACUCCCCAAAUACAUUUGCGGUCACGUCGAGCUUCCAUAGCGUAGUAAUUUACACAUCGUUACUGGUAAUCGUCGCGGCCGCGCCGUUAAACCCCAACUUCUGAAUGUUGACCUCGGAUCAGGUAGGAAUACCCGCUGAACU
RNAcentral lists this unclassified non-coding RNA (522 nucleotides) under Fusarium graminearum. RNAcentral's name for it is "contains ITS1, 5.8S rRNA gene, ITS2". The stretch from base 179 to 332 matches the Rfam family "5.8S ribosomal RNA". The record is from RNAcentral. Lineage: Eukaryota; Fungi; Ascomycota; Sordariomycetes; Hypocreales; Nectriaceae.